CCCCCCAGGGGAUGCCCUCAGUAGCGGCGAGUGAAGCGGCAAGAGCUCAGAUUUGAAAUCUCACCUAGUGUGCGAGUUGUAAAUUGCAGGUUGGAGUCUCGGGUUAGACGUGUGUGCAAGUCCCUUGGAACAGGGUGCCACUGAGGGUGAGAGCCCCGUAUCGUGCAUGUCGACACCUGUGAGGCCCUUCUGACGAGUCGAGUUGUUUGGGAAUGCAGCUCUAAGUGGGUGGUAAAUUCCAUCUAAGGCUAAAUAUUGGCGAGAGACCGAUAGCGAACAAGUACUGUGAAGGAAAGAUGAAAAGCACUUUGAAAAGAGAGUGAAACAGCACGUGAAAUUGUUGAAAGGGAAGGGUAUUGGGCUCGACAUGGGAUUUACGCAUCGUUGCCUCUCGUGGGCGGCGCUCUGGGUUUUUCCUGGGCCAGCAUCGGUUUUCGUUGCAGGAUAAGGACAAUUGGAAUGUGGCUCCUCGGAGUGUUAUAGCCUUUUGUAGAUGCUGCGUAUGGGGACCGAGGGCUGCGGCGGACUCGUUUCGUCUCGGAUGCUGGCACAACGGCGCAAUACCGCCCGUCUUGAACAACGGGACCCA
Molecule: ribosomal RNA, 589 nt
Filed under: Pichia kluyveri
Lineage: Eukaryota; Fungi; Ascomycota; Pichiomycetes; Pichiales; Pichiaceae
Description: eukaryotic LSU rRNA
Rfam family: Eukaryotic large subunit ribosomal RNA
Source: RNAcentral